GUCGAGCGAAUGGNUUGAGAGCUUGCUCUCAAGAAGUUAGCGGCGGACGGGUGAGUAACACGUGGGUAACCUGCCCAUAAGACUGGGAUAACUCCGGGAAACCGGGGCUAAUACCGGAUAAUAUUUUGAACUGCAUGGUUCGAAAUUGAAAGGCGGCUUCGGCUGUCACUUAUGGAUGGACCCGCGUCGCAUUAGCUAGUUGGUGAGGUAACGGCUCACCAAGGCAACGAUGCGUAGCCGACCUGAGAGGNUGCUAAAANCAUACUGGGACUGAGACACGGNCAANACUCNUACGGGAGGCAGCAGUAGGGAAUCUUCCGCAAUGGACGAAAGUCUGACGGAGCAACGCCGCGUGAGUGAUGAAGGCUUUCGGGUCGUAAAACUCUGUUGUUAGGGAAGAACAAGUGCUAGUUGAAUAAGCUGGCACCUUGACGGUACCUAACCAGAAAGCCACGGCUAACUACGUGCCAGCAGCCGCGGUAAUACGUAGGUGGCAAGCGUUAUCCGGAAUUAUUGGGCGUAAAGCGCGCGCAGGUGNUUUCUUAAGUCUGAUGUGAAAGCCCACGGCUCAACCGUGGAGGGUCAUUGGAAACUGGGAGACUUGAGUGCAGAAGAGGAAAGUGNAAUUCCAUGUGUAGCGGUGAAAUGCGUA
RNAcentral lists this ribosomal RNA (652 nucleotides) under bacterium GD90SAN50%. RNAcentral describes it as "bacterial SSU rRNA". It matches the Rfam family "Bacterial small subunit ribosomal RNA", at positions 61 to 692 of the family's 1533-position model. The record is from RNAcentral.